This 497-nucleotide ribosomal RNA is filed under the name uncultured bacterium. RNAcentral describes it as "partial 16S ribosomal RNA". It matches the Rfam family "Bacterial small subunit ribosomal RNA", at positions 28 to 507 of the family's 1533-position model. The record is from RNAcentral.
GAUGAACGCUGGCGGCGUGCCUAAUACAUGCAAGUCGAGCGAACGGACGAGAAGCUUGCUUCUCUGAUGUUAGCGGCGGACGGGUGAGUAACACGUGGAUAACCUACCUAUAAGACUGGGAUAACUUCGGGAAACCGGAGCUAAUACCGGAUGAUAUUUUGAACCGCAUGGUUCAAAAGUGAAAGACGGUCUUGCUGUCACUUAUAGAUGGAUCCGCGCUGCAUUAGCUAGUUGGUAAGGUAACGGCUUACCAAGGCAACGAUGCAUAGCCGACCUGAGAGGGUGAUCGGCCACACGGGAACUGAGACACGGUCCAGACUCCUACGGGAGGCAGCAGUAGGGAAUCUUCCGCAAUGGGCGAAAGCCUGACGGAGCAACGCCGCGUGAGUGAUGAAGGUCUUCGGAUCGUAAAACUCUGUUAUUAGGGAAGAACAUAUGUGUAGGUAACUGUGCACAUCUUGACGGUACCUAAUCAGAAAGCCACGGCUAACUACGUG